UAUUUUUUGUAAUUAAAAAUAUGAGUAAUAAUUUUGUUUUAUUAUUCUGUUUCUAUAUUGAAAAUAAUUUUAACCACUUUUUAAUAUUAAUCAUUUUAGGAAAUUAAAUAAAAAAAUUUGUGUAAAACACAUUAAUUAGAUUUUCAUAUUACAAAAUACAUAGUGAUUUAUAAUAAAAAUUAAAUAUCCAUGUCUACCCUUGGAUAUCCAUAUUCAUAUUGGAUAAUUAAGUAUUUACACAUAGAUGGCUAAUAACUAUAGCCAUAUGAAUUUUGUCAUCUUUAAUUGACAAGUAUAUGACCAAUUAAAUAAUUAUUUCAAACUUACCAUUCAAAAUUUUUUUUUGGUUAUAUUUUUGUUGGAUUAAUGGCUAAGUGCUGGAAAACACAAAACAACACCAUGGCCUUGACCAAUUUUUUAUUUUUUAGAUUGAUAGUGAAAUGUAUUUCUUUCUUUUUUUCCUUCAAUUCUAGCAAUUUAUGCAUUUGUUUCUCUACAUAUAUUGCAAUACCAAAAAAAAAAACUUAUAUUGUCCAAAUUGAUAAGUUUGCGAAGUCAGAAUAUUGUGUUCAUAUCGAAAGGUGCUUCCGAAAGAGAUUGUAGCUUCCAAAAGCAUCACAACAAUUAAAAAGUUUUAGGUGCAGGACUAAUGUCUGAAAAUAAAAAAGAUUUUAGCCUUUUUUUUAACAAAUAAAUGGACUCUACUAUAAUUGAUCUUGAAAAAGAUUAAAAAAAAAGGUACGAAACCUAUGUGGCAACAUAGUUUUGGGCAUACAAAAAGUGAAUUAUCAAUACUAUUAAUUCUUAAAAAAAAAUCAACAUACUAAGAUCUAACAAAGUCCAAUCGCCACUUAGAUUUUAACCCAGUGGUGAAUCACUAUUCUCAAAGUAAAAAAGAACUAUGAGGGUAAUGGUUUGAAUGUUCAUAGACUCAACUUUCCUCAAUUAAGUAAAAAAUUAUGUAGAAUUAAUUUAUAAGUCUUUCUACCUUACAAAAUGCGAGUGAAAUAGAAAAAUCCCUCGUCUGUGAGGGUCAUAUACCUGGACAUGUAUUUCAUAGAAUUAAAUUAAUAAUGUAAGUCCCAAAUUAUAUAUUUAAUUAUAAAUAUCAGUGUAAAGUUUACUAUAAUAAUAGUUAUAAAUAUCUGUGUAAUAUAAUAAUCUGAUAUGUAAUCAGUGUUAAAAAAGAAAAAGUCCAAUCCAGAAAAACCUCAACAUAAUGCUAAUAAAUAAAACACAAUAUUAUCACCGGAUCAUAAUAGAAGAAAUCAGAAGUAAAUAUUUAUGAAUUUAAUGAACUAACAAAAUACUUAAAAAGUAAAAUAAAAUCAUAAAAAAUCAAUAAAACCAAAAAAAAAUCAUUAGAAAAUUUUCACAUAGAGCCCUCAUCUUAGGUCAUUGGAAACUUGACAAACCACUACUAAAAUCCAUCUACAACUCCAAAACAAGCAUAACUUCCUAAUCAAUAAUUCACGUCAGCAUAUGACUCAAGGGACAUUUAAUUUGAUGUGGCAAAAUGUGGCAGAUGACUCAGCUUAUACCAGAAUCCGCCUCGAGUAGAGAGGUUAAGAUCAUUCAAUUGACAUUGUGUUUAAGUACAAUGGGUUAAAUCGGAUUUAAAUACAGCACUUAAAUUUCUUGUGGAAGAAACGAAGACACGAAUGUCUAAUAUUUUUAUGACAGCAGUAACAACAUAUUAAAAAAAAGGGGUCCAGCUAUGUUACUCACGGGUUUGGUACCUUUUUUUCGUCUUUUUCAAAUUCACUUUGGAUUUAAUACUAGAGUUGUAUAACGCUUAAAUGUAUUUAUUAGGUUAUUAAUAUUAAAUGUCCCUGUUGUUUAUGUAAAAUAAAAAUAAUAAAAAAUUUUAAAUUUUUAAUAUGUAAGUCCAUAGUAUUUUAAAUUUUUUUACACUAUUGAACUAAGUUUCUAAUUAAAUGAUUUAUUCUUACAUUUAUUAAUAUAUAUUUAAAUUAAUACAUUCUCUUAUUAAUUAACAACUUAAUUAAUUUAAUAUAUAGUUAAACAUUGUAUAUUAUUUACUAACCAUUAUUGACAAUAUAUAUAUAUAUAUAUAUAUAUAUAUAUAUAUAUAUAUUUAACAUAAUAACAACAAAUUUCCUUUCACUCAUGUGAGACUGUGAGUAAUGUUCAAACAUUGUAUCUUUUUUUUUUUUCUCUAACACAAGAGAUUCUACUAUCUUAAAUAGAUAAAAUGCACAAAAUAUGAAAAUGAAUUUAAUUUCAUAUUCCAUAUAAAUAAUGUUUUAUUAUUUUCUUGUAACAUAAUAUUUAUUUAACAUACUAUCAAUUAUUCGAUUAUGUAGAAAAAUAUAUUAAUUUACUACUAAUAAUAAAGUGUUAGUUUAUUAAUUCGUAAAAUCAUUUUUGUUCAUUUAAACAAGGAUUUUGUAUUUUUGGUUGAGUUUUUGCCCUUAAACAAAAGAAUAAAUCUUAACAAUUACUCUAUUUGAAAAUAAUUUAAAUAUUUCUUUAUUAUUUUUUGUAAUUAAAAAUAUGAGUAAUAAUUUUGUUUUAUUAUUCUGUUUCUAUAUUGAAAAUAAUUUUAACCACUUUUUAAUAUUAAUCAUUUUAGGAAAUUAAAUAAAAAAAUUUGUGUAAAACACAUUAAUUAGAUUUUCAUAUUACAAAAUACAUAGUGAUUUAUAAUAAAAAUUAAAUAUCCAUGUCUACCCUUGGAUAUCCAUAUUCAUAUUGGAUAAUUAAGUAUUUACACAUAGAUGGCUAAUAACUAUAGCCAUAUGAAUUUUGUCAUCUUUAAUUGACAAGUAUAUGACCAAUUAAAUAAUUAUUUCAAACUUACCAUUCAAAAUUUUUUUUUGGUUAUAUUUUUGUUGGAUUAAUGGCUAAGUGCUGGAAAACACAAAACAACACCAUGGCCUUGACCAAUUUUUUAUUUUUUAGAUUGAUAGUGAAAUGUAUUUCUUUCUUUUUUUCCUUCAAUUCUAGCAAUUUAUGCAUUUGUUUCUCUACAUAUAUUGCAAUACCAAAAAAAAAAAACUUAUAUUGUCCAAAUUGAUAAGUUUGCGAAGUCAGAAUAUUGUGUUCAUAUCGAAAGGUGCUUCCGAAAGAGAUUGUAGCUUCCAAAAGCAUCACAACAAUUAAAAAGUUUUAGGUGCAGGACUAAUGUCUGAAAAUAAAAAAGAUUUUAGCCUUUUUUUUAACAAAUAAAUGGACUCUACUAUAAUUGAUCUUGAAAAAGAUUAAAAAAAAAGGUACGAAACCUAUGUGGCAACAUAGUUUUGGGCAUACAAAAAGUGAAUUAUCAAUACUAUUAAUUCUUAAAAAAAAAUCAACAUACUAAGAUCUAACAAAGUCCAAUCGCCACUUAGAUUUUAACCCAGUGGUGAAUCACUAUUCUCAAAGUAAAAAAGAACUAUGAGGGUAAUGGUUUGAAUGUUCAUAGACUCAACUUUCCUCAAUUAAGUAAAAAAUUAUGUAGAAUUAAUUUAUAAGUCUUUCUACCUUACAAAAUGCAAGUGAAAUAGAAAAAUCCCUCGUCUGUGAGGGUCAUAUACCUGGACAUGUAUUUCAUAGAAUUAAAUUAAUAAUGUAAGUCCCAAAUUAUAUAUUUAAUUAUAAAUAUCAGUGUAAAGUUUACUAUAAUAAUAGUUAUAAAUAUCUGUGUAAUAUAAUAAUCUGAUAUGUAAUCAGUGUUAAAAAAGAAAAAGUCCAAUCCAGAAAAACCUCAACAUAAUGCUAAUAAAUAAAACACAAUAUUAUCACCGGAUCAUAAUAGAAGAAAUCAAAAGUAAAUAUUUAUGAAUUUAAUGAACUAACAAAAUACUUAAAAAGUAAAAUAAAAUCAUAAAAAAUCAAUAAAACCAAAAAAAAAUCAUUAGAAAAUUUUCACAUAGAGCCCUCAUCUUAGGUCAUUGGAAACUUGACAAACCACUACUAAAAUCCAUCUACAACUCCAAAACAAGCAUAACUUCCUAAUCAAUAAUUCACGUCAGCAUAUGACUCAAGGGACAUUUAAUUUGAUGUGGCAAAAUGUGGCAGAUGACUCAGCUUAUACCAGAAUCCGCCUCGAGUAGAGAGGUUAAGAUCAUUCAAUUGGCAGUGGUCUUGACUGAUUUCUAAAUAUCUCUUUUGAAAUAAUUCCUUAUGAUUUAGUUUUAUAAUAUUACUAGGAAAUAGAACCACAUUU
Molecule: long non-coding RNA, 4171 nt
Filed under: Citrus x clementina
Lineage: Eukaryota; Viridiplantae; Streptophyta; Magnoliopsida; Sapindales; Rutaceae
Description: Citrus clementina (C. clementina) long non-coding RNA (CCLE_LNC003438)
Source: RNAcentral